This is a long non-coding RNA of Oncorhynchus tshawytscha (Chinook salmon), 1810 nucleotides long. NCBI's taxonomy places the organism in Eukaryota, Metazoa, Chordata, Actinopteri, Salmoniformes, Salmonidae. The record is from Ensembl.
GGGACCUGCAGUACAGACUAGUGUCUUUAUCAUAUCACACAGAGACCUGCAGUACAGACUAGUGUCUUUGUCAUAUCACACAGGGACCUGCAGUACAGACUAGUGUCUUUAUCAUAACACACAGGGAACUGUCUUGUCCCAUCGCUGCAAAUCCCAUACAGACUCGGAGGAGGUGAAGGUCGAGAGCCGUGUGUCCUCCGAAACACAACCCCGCCAAGCUGCACCGCUUCUUGACACAAUGCACGCUUAACCCGGAUGCCAGACGCACCAAUGUGUCGGAACGUAACACCGUACACCUGGAGACCGUGUCAGUGUGUAUGCGCCCGGCCCGCCACAGGAGUCGCUAAAGAGCGAUGGGACAAGGACAUCCCGGCCGGACAUACCCUCCCCUACCCUGGAAGACACUGGGCAAAUUGUGUGUCACCUCAUGGGUCUCCCGGUCGCGGCCUCCUGCAACACAACUCGGAAUCAAACCGGGAUCUGUAGUAAUGCAGACCGCUGCACCACUCAGGAGGCCCAUAAUUAUAAUUUUUAAUAGCUUCCAAUCCACAUUAUCAAAGUGUAUUACUUUUUAGGGGCCUCCCAGAUAUUACAAUAUUCACAUUAAAAUCUGUCGCCAAUUUGAUGGAAACCUAGCUUAUGUUUCUAUUAACUUGUCCAGCGAUUUUUGUUGUUGUCAACAUUUAGAAAGUUUGCAUAGAAAAUUUAUUCGACAAUUGCCUGCUAGGGUGCGUUUCCAAUUAACUAUCUUGUCUCAAUAAAAAUAGCUUUGCGUAAUGACAUCACACCUAAAAUAAAAUGCGCAUUAAUUAAUGUGUGCCCUCCCACCUAUCGGUUUCAUGUCUCAGGUAGCCUGUCUGCCCUCCCACCUAUCGGUUUCAUGUCUCAGGUAGCCUGUCUGCCCUCCCACCUAUCGGUUUCAUGUCUCAGGUAGCCUGUCUGUCCUCCCACCUAUCGGUUUCAUGUCUCAGGUAGCCUGUGAAAGCCAGCAUGAACAGAAUGCAAUAAUUUACUAAUAUUUGCCAUAUUGUAAUCAUUCUCAUGUGCCAACGUAUCGCCACGGCCCGUGCCAUGCUGAAACGUGCACUAUUAGAUCUUGAAAAAUGUAAUGGUGUAACUUGCCAGCCAACCAGAAAAGCAAGGCGAAGCAAUUCAAGCAUUCUUUAAAGUCAGAACAAUCCUUGUCCUGUUAAUAAAUUAUUUUUCAUAGUUGGACGUGGCGCUUAAAGUUACAUGAUGACAUCACGUGACCUCCGUACCUUCAAAAGUAGCCUAUUCGGUAAUUAUCAUUUAUUCAAGAAACAUCGUUUCCAUCAUACUUUGUCACAAUAAAGAAAGUCCGACAAAAGAAAAAUCCACACCUGUCGAUCUUUUGAAAAUGUCUCCUAUAUCUGCCGUUUCCAUUACACAUGACGCAAUUAUUAUAGAUAUUUUGUCCCGACAUGGCUAUUGUCGAUAGUCCAUUGAAACCUGCCUAGAGAAGAGAUACACUGUAUACAUUAUGUCAUAAGUAGACUAGGUAUGUCCUCCUACCUAAAGACGAAGAAAAAAAAGAUAAACCUGAUAAUAGUUUCUUCGUCUGGCAUUCUUUUGAAGGCCUUUCGUUUUUACUUCCUUGUUGAGCGCUAUUUGCGAAUUUUGAAGUUAACGUCAAAGUUACUUACUCUUUUUGUGGGACAUUAACCGAUAAUAGCCUCGUUCUCGUAUUUGUCUAUAGCCUAUUUAAAUAGGUCAACAAUAGACCUAUCCAUGACGUUAAUGAAUAUAAUAGACCCUUGAAGCAGAAUAAUUGGAAACGGGCUAUGCCUAG